AGAGUUUGAUCCUGGCUCAGAAUUAACGCUGGCGGCGUGCCUAACACAUGCAAGUCGAACGAGAAAAUCUCCUUCGGGGGAUGAGUAAAGUGGCGAACGGGUGAGUAACGCGUGGGUAACCUGCCCUUGGAAGGGGGAUAACACGAGGAAACUGGUGCUAAUACCGCAUAAGCCUGAGGCAAGAGAUUGCAAUAGGGAAAGUCCUUCGGGAUGUCCAAGGAGGGGCCCGCGUCCGAUUAGCUAGUUGGUGGAGUAAAGGUUUACCAAGGCGACAAUCGGUAGCCGGUCUGAGAGGACGGACGGUCACACUGGGACUGAGUCACGGCCCAGACUCCUACGGGAGGCAGCAGUGGGGAAUUUUGCGCAAUGGGGGAAACCCUGACGCAGCAACGCCGCGUGAAGGAAGAAGGCUUUCGAGUUGUAAACUUCUGUUUCGGGGGACGAUAAUGACGGUACCCCGGCAGCAAGCCCCGGCUAACUCCGUGCCAGCAGCCGCGGUAAUACGGGGGGGGCAAGCGUUGUUCGGAAUUACUGGGCGUAAAGGGCGCGUAGGCGGUCCGAGAAGUUUCGGGUGAAAGCCCCGGGCUCAACCCGGGAAGGUCCCGGAAAACCAUCGGACUUGAGUGCUGGAGAGGCAAGCGGAAUUUCUGGUGUAGCGGUGAAAUGCGUAGAUAUCAGAAGGAACAUCAGAGGCGAAGGCGGCUUGCUGGACAGCAACUGACGCUGAGGCGCGAAAGCCAGGGGAGCAAACGGGAUUAGAUACCCCGGUAGUCCUGGCCGUAAACGAUGGGUACUUGGUGUUG
Molecule: ribosomal RNA, 803 nt
Filed under: uncultured Acidobacterium sp.
Lineage: Bacteria; Pseudomonadati; Acidobacteriota; Terriglobia; Terriglobales; Acidobacteriaceae
Description: bacterial SSU rRNA
Rfam family: Bacterial small subunit ribosomal RNA
Source: RNAcentral